CCUACGGGGGGCUGCAGUGGGGAAUAUUGGACAAUGGGGGCAACCCUGAUCCAGCCAUGCCGCGUGUGUGAAGAAGGCCCUCGGGUUGUAAAGCACUUUCAGUGAGGAAGAACGCCUGGUGGUUAAUACCCAUCAGGAAAGACAUCACUCACAGAAGAAUCACCGGCUAACUCCGUGCCAGCAGCCGCGGUAAUACGGAGGGUGCGAGCGUUAAUCGGAAUUACUGGGCGUAAAGCGCGCGUAGGUGGCUUGAUAAGCCGGUUGUGAAAGCCCCGGGCUCAACCUGGGAACGGCAUCCGGAACUGUCAAGCUAGAGUGCAGGAGAGGAAGGUAGAAUUCCCGGUGUAGCGGUGAAAUGCGUAGAGAUCGGGAGGAAUACCAGUGGCGAAGGCGGCCUUCUGGACUGACACUGACACUGAGGUGCGAAAGCGUGGGUAGCAAACAGGAUUAGAUACCCCAGUAGUC
This 465-nucleotide ribosomal RNA is filed under the name Vreelandella stevensii. RNAcentral describes it as "partial 16S ribosomal RNA". It matches the Rfam family "Bacterial small subunit ribosomal RNA", at positions 338 to 795 of the family's 1533-position model. The record is from RNAcentral. Lineage: Bacteria; Pseudomonadati; Pseudomonadota; Gammaproteobacteria; Oceanospirillales; Halomonadaceae.